CCUACGGGGGGCUGCAGUGGGGAAUAUUGGGCAAUGGGCGAAAGCCUGAUCCAGCCAUGCCGCGUGUGUGAAGAAGGCCUUCGGGUUGUAAAGCACUUUCAGUGGGGAAGAAAGCCUUGGGGCUAAUACCCUCGAGGAAGGACAUCACCCACAGAAGAAGCACCGGCUAACUCCGUGCCAGCAGCCGCGGUAAUACGGAGGGUGCGAGCGUUAAUCGGAAUUACUGGGCGUAAAGCGCGCGUAGGCGGUCUGAUAAGCCGGUUGUGAAAGCCCCGGGCUCAACCUGGGAACGGCAUCCGGAACUGUCAGGCUAGAGUGCAGGAGAGGAAGGUAGAAUUCCCGGUGUAGCGGUGAAAUGCGUAGAGAUCGGGAGGAAUACCAGUGGCGAAGGCGGCCUUCUGGACUGACACUGACGCUGAGGUGCGAAAGCGUGGGUAGCAAACAGGAUUAGAUACCCGAGUAGUC
RNAcentral lists this ribosomal RNA (465 nucleotides) under Vreelandella stevensii. Its description in RNAcentral is "partial 16S ribosomal RNA". It matches the Rfam family "Bacterial small subunit ribosomal RNA", at positions 338 to 795 of the family's 1533-position model. The record is from RNAcentral. Lineage: Bacteria; Pseudomonadati; Pseudomonadota; Gammaproteobacteria; Oceanospirillales; Halomonadaceae.